AGCUUUGUGCAGUGGCAGGCUUGUAGCCGAUGAGGUUUAUCUGAGGGCGUGAUUAUUUCUAAUUGAAAACUUCAUUACUUAUUCAGGAUUGCUUACUCUAUUUGAAGGUCAUAUUUCCUUAAAUUCUAAGAGAUUUUUGAAGGAA
RNAcentral lists this small nuclear RNA (145 nucleotides) under Mus musculus (house mouse). RNAcentral describes it as "U4 spliceosomal RNA". It matches the Rfam family "U4 spliceosomal RNA". From Rfam's summary of the family: U4 small nuclear RNA (U4 snRNA) is a component of the major U2-dependent spliceosome. The structure of U4 snRNA from yeast and human has been reported. Lineage: Eukaryota; Metazoa; Chordata; Mammalia; Rodentia; Muridae. The record is from Rfam by way of RNAcentral.